This 71-nucleotide transfer RNA is filed under the name Candidatus Dormiibacterota bacterium. Its description in RNAcentral is "tRNA-Gln". It matches the Rfam family "tRNA". From Rfam's summary of the family: Transfer RNA (tRNA) molecules are approximately 80 nucleotides in length. Lineage: Bacteria; Bacillati; Candidatus Dormiibacterota. The record is from RNAcentral.
GGGGCGUCGCCAAGUGGUAAGGCAGGGGACUUUGGAUCCCCCAUUCGAAGGUUCGAAUCCUUCCGCCCCAG